GUGCCAGCCGCCGCGGUAAGACGAACCGUGCAAACGUUGUUCGGAAUCACUGGGCUUAAAGGGCGCGUAGGCGGGCUCCCAAGUCGGUGGUGAAAUCUUUCGGCCCAACCGGAAAAGUGCCGCCGAUACUGGGAGUCUCGAGGGAGGUAGGGGUCGAGGGAACUUCCGGUGGAGCGGUGAAAUGCGUAGAUAUCGGAAGGAACGCCGGUGGCGAAAGCGCUCGACUGGACCUCUUCUGACGCUGAGGCGCGAAAGCCAGGGGAGCAAACGGGAUUAGAAACCCCAGUAGUCC
RNAcentral lists this ribosomal RNA (292 nucleotides) under uncultured bacterium. Its description in RNAcentral is "partial 16S ribosomal RNA". It matches the Rfam family "Bacterial small subunit ribosomal RNA", at positions 505 to 796 of the family's 1533-position model. The record is from RNAcentral.